This 472-nucleotide ribosomal RNA is filed under the name uncultured bacterium. Its description in RNAcentral is "partial 16S ribosomal RNA". It matches the Rfam family "Bacterial small subunit ribosomal RNA", at positions 28 to 507 of the family's 1533-position model. The record is from RNAcentral.
GACGAACGCUGGCGGCGUGCUUAACACAUGCCAGUCGAACGAUGAACCCGGAGCUUGCUCUGGGGGAUUAGUGGCGAACGGGUGAGUAACACGUGAGUAACCUGCCCUGGACUCUGGGAUAAGCGUUGGAAACGACGUCUAAUACCGGAUAGGACCUUGGAUCGCAUGAUCUGGGGUGGAAAGUUUUUUCGGUCUGGGAUGGACUCGCGGCCUAUCAGCUUGUUGGUGAGGUAAUGGCUCACCAAGGCGUCGACGGGUAGCCGGCCUGAGAGGGUGACCGGCCACACUGGGACUGAGACACGGCCCAGACUCCUACGGGAGGCAGCAGUGGGGAAUAUUGCACAAUGGGCGAAAGCCUGAUGCAGCAACGCCGCGUGCGGGAUGACGGCCGUCGGGUUGUAAACCGCUUUUAGUAGGGAAGAAGGGCUUCGGCUUGACGGUACCUGCAGAAAAAGGACCGGCUAACUACGUG